CUCUGACAUCCUGGAAUGACGGCUUUAAGUGGGAUCCUUCGCUCCGUGCAUUCAGAUUAUUGAAGCUUCUCGCGGAUGACUUUACGUUUCAUGUGUUUGACCGGUCUUUUAUCACUUUUGAUGAGCUACUCCGACACAGCACUACAAAUGCUGAAAUUGCCACAACCGUCCUUCGUUUUCUCCUGCAUGCAUGUUCGGUUGUUUACUA
Selaginella moellendorffii is the source of this 208-nucleotide long non-coding RNA. RefSeq lists it as uncharacterized. The transcript is spliced from 4 exons. The record is from RefSeq and is a predicted model, not a curated record. NCBI's taxonomy places the organism in Eukaryota, Viridiplantae, Streptophyta, Lycopodiopsida, Selaginellales, Selaginellaceae.